Molecule: long non-coding RNA, 661 nt
Filed under: Naja naja (Indian cobra)
Lineage: Eukaryota; Metazoa; Chordata; Lepidosauria; Squamata; Elapidae
Description: lncRNA (ENSNNAG00000007539.1)
Source: RNAcentral
CUAAAGUGGAGAAUGGGAAAAUCGAAAGCCUCCUUCAGCAGAACAAAGCCACCUGCGCCGACCUCCACAAGAUGCUUCAGGAAGAGCGGAAGGAGGCUGCCAACUCGGAGGCUGACCUGGAGAGGCGGCUGGUGCAGGUUGAGCAGGAGUAUCAAGAGAAGAUCCUCUACCUGCUCGACAAAGUCCAGCAACAGGAGAAAGAAGGCAAAAGUCUGGAAAGGACCCUGACUUCCAAAAGGGAGGAGGAGGAGCUUCUGGAACACCUCCGUUUCCAGGAUGAAGAGAUUGGAAAGAUGAAAGAGGGGUUGGAAAAACAUGAAAUCUGCCCAACGCCAGAAGCCCUGAAGCAGGUGAGUUCAAGGGCAGCUUCACCUGCUGGGACAAGGUGACCUCACUCCUUGCUGGCUCACACAACUCCUCCUUCACCUCCUCCAUCUUUUCCUCCUGCAGGAGGAGUUCAAGGUUCUCCAGGCUACUAACGGACAGAAGGCCUGCAAACGUUCCAGCUCUGGAGAAGUUUUUGACUCCCCUUUGGAACACAUCCCUCCCAAGGUUGGUGAUCUCAAGGGGGGGGGGCGUGUUAUAGAGCCCCCUGAGGGAGGAGCUGGCAUCUCCCUCUCCCCCCCCCCCGGUCCUGUUAGCAGGGAUUAGAAAUAGGGAG